This 429-nucleotide ribosomal RNA is filed under the name Fusobacteriota bacterium. Its description in RNAcentral is "Fusobacteria bacterium partial 16S ribosomal RNA". It matches the Rfam family "Bacterial small subunit ribosomal RNA", at positions 355 to 776 of the family's 1533-position model. The record is from RNAcentral. Lineage: Bacteria; Fusobacteriati; Fusobacteriota.
UGGGGAAUAUUGCGCAAUGGGCGAAAGCCUGACGCAGCGACGCCGCGUGAGGGAUGAAGGUUUUCGGAUCGUAAACCUCUGUCAGAAGGGAAGAAACCGCACUGUGCUAAUCAGCAGUGCCUUGACGGUAGCUUCAAAGGAAGCACCGGCUAACUCCGUGCCAGCAGCCGCGGUAAUACGGAGGGUGCAAGCGUUAAUCGGAAUUACUGGGCGUAAAGCGCACGUAGGCUGCUUUGUAAGUCAGGGGUGAAAUCCCACGGCUCAACCGUGGAACUGCCUUUGAUACUGCUUAGCUUGAAUCCGGGAGAGGGUGGCGGAAAUCCAGGUGUAGGAGUGAAAUCCGUAGAUAUCUGGAGGAACAUCAGUGGCGAAGGCGGCCACCUGGACCGGUAUUGACGCUGAGGUGCGAAAGCGUGGGGAGCAAACAGG